CCUACGGGAGGCUGCAGUGAGGAAUAUUGGUCAAUGGGCUUACGCCUGAACCAGCCAAGUCGCGUGAGGGAAGACGGCCCUAUGGGUUGUAAACCUCUUUUGUCAGGGAGCAACGCAGGCGACGUGUAGCCGGACGGAGAGGACCUGAAGAAAAAGAAGCGGCCAACUCCGUGCCAGCAGCCGCGGUAAUACGGAGGAUGCGAGCGUUAUCCGGAUUUAUUGGGUUGACAGGGUGCGUAGGCGGAAUGCCAAGGCAGCGGUAAAAUCGCGGGGCUCAACCUCGCUCCGCCGUUGAAACUGGCGUUCUUGAGUGGGCGAGAAGUAUGCGGACUGCGUGGUGUAGCGG
Molecule: ribosomal RNA, 346 nt
Filed under: uncultured bacterium
Lineage: Bacteria
Description: partial 16S ribosomal RNA
Rfam family: Bacterial small subunit ribosomal RNA
Source: RNAcentral